CUGGGGAGGGGAGUGGGGUCUAGUGGUUAGAGCAGGGGCGGGACUGGACACCUGGACUCCUGGGUUCUCUCCCUGGCUCUGGGGAGGGGAGUGGGGUCUAGUGGUUAGAGCAGGGGCGGGACUGGACACCUGGACUCCUGGGUUCUCUCCCUGGCUCUGGGGAGGGGAGUGGGGUCUAGUGGUUAGAGCAGGGGCGGGACUGGACACCUGGACUCCUGGGUUCUCUCCCUGGCUCUGGGGAGGGGAGUGGGGUCUAGUGGUUAGAGCAGGUGGGGUCUGGGAGGCAGGACUCCUGCGUUCUCUCCCUGGCUCUGGGAAGGGGAUGGGCUGUAGAGGUUUAGAGUCCUGGAAAGAACCCAGGAGUCCUGGCUCCCAGCCCUCACUUGUCCCCCGUGGUCUCCUCUCUGGAAGAACCCGCUCCACCUCGGAGCUGUCCCUGGUGCUGCUCCCGGCCCCUCCCCGUGGCCUCGGGGCUGGCCCGGCAGAGCCUGGGGGGGGGGGCAGAGCCGGCGGCAGCGUCCCACGCAGGAUCGCCUGGAUUGAGAGCCAGUGACGCGGGAGGCUCAGCGUGGGGCGGGGGGGGGGGACCAGCUGGGGCUGGGACAGAUCGGUCCUGGGCAGCCGGCGGCUGAGAGCUCCUCCCGCGCUCGGGAGCCAGCGAAGGGCAGGAAGGAGAGAGCGAGAGAAAGGAGGAGAGAAAAGCGAGGGAGAGAAGGAAGGAAGGAAGGAAAGAGGGAGAGAAAAGCGAGGAAGAGAAGCGGAGAGAAGGAAGGAAAGAAGAAGCGAAGGAGAGAGAAGGAAGGAGGCGAAGGGAGAGAGAGAAGAGAAAAGGAAACCGAGGGAGGAAGGAGAGAGAGACAGACCCCCCCAGGUGCCGGAGCCGGAGCAUGGUGCUGUGACCUGGCCCGGUCCCGCUCGCCGCCAUGCAGUUCAACAAGGAGGAAUUCCAGAAGUUGGCCGGGAAGACGCUGGGCCAGGUGCACAGGAGAUUUUUUGCGGGCCGCGCUGGGUCGUUUGCCAGCAGCCGACACCUUUCAGGGUCACGGGAGGCCAGUACGAAGCCGAAAGGCCGCUCGAUAUUUUUCCCUUCGCUGCUGUGAACUAGACAGCUGGGCCAGGGCUUAUCCUCCAGCCCGGCUCCCAAUGUGAAAUUGCUUCUUGUCGUGUGCCAAGGCCGGAUCCUGUGUGUGCCUGUCUCCCGGCCUCCCCCUGCUUGAGCGGAUGAGUCCUGCUCUGUGUAUGUGUGUGUGUGUGUCAGCGAGAGAGAGAGAAAUUGGGCCCAAAUUUCCCAAGAGAUUUAGGCACCCAAAGAUGCAGCAAGAGGCACCCUAGGGGUUUUGACAGCACCUCGGUGUCUGGCGACAGUCUCUGUUUCUCUCCAAAUCCCCAGCUCCCAGAGUCCUGGGAUUUUGUGAAAAUGUCAGCUUCCGUUUAAAAAAAAAUAGUAAUUGUUUUAGACAUUCUGGUUGGGGGAGAAAACUUAAAAACACGAUCCUUAGAGGUAUUUGGGGGGGGGGGGCACACACAGCUACCCCGGCACAGGAGAGCACACUG
Long non-coding RNA from Chrysemys picta bellii (western painted turtle), 1554 nucleotides. NCBI's taxonomy places the organism in Eukaryota, Metazoa, Chordata, Testudines, Emydidae. The record is from Ensembl.